This 97-nucleotide transfer RNA is filed under the name Maricaulis virginensis. RNAcentral's name for it is "tRNA-Gly". The record is from RNAcentral. Lineage: Bacteria; Pseudomonadati; Pseudomonadota; Alphaproteobacteria; Maricaulales; Maricaulaceae.
CUGUGCGAAAGCCCGGCGGACGGCGUCUUCGCCGCUGCCGGCGGCGAGCUCGCCGGUCCGGGCCUGCGCGAUGCCGGUUUGAAGCCGGUCACGCAGC